CAGCCGCCGCGGUAAUACGUAUGUCACAAGCGUUAUCCGGAUUUAUUGGGCGUAAAGCGCGUCUAGGUGGUUAUAUAAGUCUGAUGUGAAAAUGCAGGGCUCAACUCUGUAUUGCGUUGGAAACUGUGUAACUAGAGUACCGGAGAGGUAAGCGGAACUACAAGUGUAGAGGUGAAAUUCGCAGAUAUUUGUAGGAAUGCCGAUGGGGAAGCCAGCUUACUGGACAGAUACUGACGCUAAAGCGCGAAAGCGUGGGUAGCAAACAGGAUUAGAUACCCCGGUAGUCCCUGUCUCUUAUACA
Molecule: ribosomal RNA, 301 nt
Filed under: uncultured bacterium
Lineage: Bacteria
Description: partial 16S ribosomal RNA
Rfam family: Bacterial small subunit ribosomal RNA
Source: RNAcentral